RNAcentral lists this ribosomal RNA (617 nucleotides) under Blastocystis sp. RNAcentral describes it as "SSU rRNA". It matches the Rfam family "Eukaryotic small subunit ribosomal RNA", at positions 1 to 629 of the family's 1831-position model. The record is from RNAcentral. Lineage: Eukaryota; Bigyra; Opalinata; Blastocystidae.
AUCUGGUUGAUCCUGCCAGUAGUCAUACGUUCGUUUCAAAGAUUAAGCCAUGCAUGUGUAAGUAUAAAUAAUUUUACUUUGAAACUGCGAAUGGCUCAUUAUAUCAGUUAUAGUUUAUUAGAAAUAUUUUACUACUUGGAUAACCGUAGUAAUUCUAGGGCUAAUACAUGAGUAAAACCUCAACUUCGGAAGAGGUGUGUUUAUUAGUAUGAAAACCAUAUAUCUUCGGAUAUAAUAGUGAGUAAUAAUAACCUUUCAUAUCGUAUGUCGUAAGAUAACGAUAGUUCUUUCAAGUUUCUGCCCUAUCAGCUUUCGAUGGUAGUAUAUGGGACUACCAUGGCAGUAACGGGUAACGAAGAAUUUGGGUUCGAUUUCGGAGAGGGAGCCUGAGAGAUGGCUACCACAUCCAAGGAAGGCAGCAGGCGCGUAAAUUACCCAAUCCUGACAUAGGGAGGUAGUGACAAUAAAUCACAAUGCGGAACUUUUAGUUUUGCAAUUGGAUUGAGAACAAUGUACAAAUGUUAUCGAUAAACAAUUGGAGGGCAAGUCUGGUGCCAGCAGCCGCGGUAAUUCCAGCUCCAAUAGCGUAUAUUAACGUUGUUGCAGUUAAAAAGCUC